RNAcentral lists this non-coding RNA (171 nucleotides) under Probaryconus sp. ZL-2020. Lineage: Eukaryota; Metazoa; Arthropoda; Insecta; Hymenoptera; Scelionidae. The record is from RNAcentral.
UAGUUCAAUUAAAACUGCGUUUCCUGCCCACUGUGAGGACACUUACGUGUCGUGGUGUAGGAUCAACAAAACUAACAAAACUAAAUUGCGGAAUUAAUUUCCGCCCAUUAAAGAUGUUUACCUGUGUCAUCUUAAACAAACAGGUAGCUCGCAGUUUUAAUUAUUUUUUUU